CGGAGGGUGCAAGCGUUAUCCGGAUUCACUGGGUUUAAAGGGUGCGUAGGUGGGCAAGUAAGUCAGUGGUGAAAUCUCCGGGCUUAACCCGGAAACUGCCAUCGAUACUAUUUGUCUUGAAUACUGUGGAGGUCAGCGGAAUAUGUCAUGUAGCGGUGAAAUGCUUAGAUAUGACAUAGAACACCAAUUGCGAAGGCAGCUGGCUACACAAAUAUUGACACUGAGGCACGAAAGCGUGGGGAUCAAACAGGAUUAGAUACCCUGGUAGUCCACGCCCUAAACUAUGGAUACUCGAUGUGUGCAAUACACCGUACGCGUCUGAGCGAAAGCAUUAAGUAAUCCACCUGGGGAGUACGACCGCAAGGUUG
Molecule: ribosomal RNA, 368 nt
Filed under: uncultured organism
Description: bacterial SSU rRNA
Rfam family: Bacterial small subunit ribosomal RNA
Source: RNAcentral